AUCCCAUGGUGAGGGAAAAAUCUCAACAUCUCUUGGAAGCGCUCCCAAGCUUCAUAGAGCGAUUCUCCUUCCUUUUGAAAAAAAUUUGUGAUUUGAUUUCUCAAUUC
Molecule: non-coding RNA, 107 nt
Organism: Cicer arietinum (chickpea)
Lineage: Eukaryota; Viridiplantae; Streptophyta; Magnoliopsida; Fabales; Fabaceae
Source: Rfam